RNAcentral lists this ribosomal RNA (250 nucleotides) under uncultured bacterium. RNAcentral's name for it is "partial 16S ribosomal RNA". It matches the Rfam family "Bacterial small subunit ribosomal RNA", at positions 524 to 773 of the family's 1533-position model. The record is from RNAcentral.
UACGUAGGGUGCAAGCGUUAAUCGGAAUUACUGGGCGUAAAGCGUACGCAGGCGGCUGGGUAAGACGGAUGUGAAAUCCCCGGGCCUAACCUGGGAACUGCAUUCGUGACUGCUCAGCUAGAGUCUGUCAGAGGGGGGUGGAAUUCCACGUGUAGCAGUGAAAUGCGUAGAGAUGUGGAGGAACACCGAUGGCGAAGGCAGCCCCCUGGGAUAAGACUGACGCUCAUGUACGAAAGCGUGGGGAGCAAAC